This 200-nucleotide ribosomal RNA is filed under the name uncultured bacterium. RNAcentral describes it as "partial 16S ribosomal RNA". It matches the Rfam family "Bacterial small subunit ribosomal RNA", at positions 328 to 539 of the family's 1533-position model. The record is from RNAcentral.
ACGCUCGACACCUACGGAGGCAGCAGUCGGGAAUAUUGCGCAAUGGAGGAAACUCUGACGCAGUGACGCCGCGUGCAGGAAGAAGGUUUUCGGAUUGUAAACUGCUUUAGACAGGGAAGAAAGAAAUGACAGUACCUGUAGAAUAAGCUCCGGCUAACUACGUGACAGCAGCCGCGGUAAUCUGAGCGGGCUGGCAAGGC